GCUAACGAGCCACGAGUUUUAUGUCCACCCCUAAUCAUCCGUUUUAUUUAAAAAAUAUUACUAUUGUUAUUAGAUGAUAAACAUGAAUAAUUCUGUACGUGUGACUAUUUUUAAAAACUUUUUAUAAUUAUUUUAAAUAAAACGAAUGGUUAAAUAUUAAACACGAAAAUCCACGGAUAUAAUUAUA
Molecule: microRNA precursor, 187 nt
Filed under: Oryza brachyantha (malo sina)
Lineage: Eukaryota; Viridiplantae; Streptophyta; Magnoliopsida; Poales; Poaceae
Description: MIR812 microRNA precursor family
Rfam family: MIR812 microRNA precursor family
Source: Rfam by way of RNAcentral